CAUCCAGACUCCUACGGGAGGCAGCAGUGGGGAAUAUUGGACAAUGGGGGGAACCCUGAUCCAGCGACGCCGCGUGAGUGAAGAAGUAUUUCGGUAUGUAAAGCUCUAUCAGCAGGGAAGAAAAUGACGGUACCUGACUAAGAAGCCCCGGCUAACUACGUGCCAGCAGCCGCGGUAAUACGUAGGGGGCAAGCGUUAUCCGGAUUUACUGGGUGUAAAGGGAGCGUAGACGGUGCAGCAAGUCUGAUGUGAAAACCCGGGGCCCAACCCCGGGAGUGCAUUGGAAACUGCCAGGCUGGAGUGUCGGAGGGGUAAGCGGAAUUCCUAGUGUAGCGGUGAAAUGCGUAGAUAUUAGGAGGAACACCAGUGGCGAAGGCGGCUUACUGGACGACUACUGACGCUGAGGCUCGAAAGCGUGGGGAGCAAACAGGAUUAGAUACCCUGGUAA
Molecule: ribosomal RNA, 448 nt
Filed under: uncultured bacterium
Lineage: Bacteria
Description: bacterial SSU rRNA
Rfam family: Bacterial small subunit ribosomal RNA
Source: RNAcentral